CAAGAAAUAGUUUAUAAAAAAUAGUAAUUUUGGGGAUUACAGAGGGUUUCCUUUUUUGA
Molecule: transfer RNA, 59 nt
Filed under: Crangonyx forbesi
Lineage: Eukaryota; Metazoa; Arthropoda; Malacostraca; Amphipoda; Crangonyctidae
Description: tRNA-Pro
Source: RNAcentral